Molecule: long non-coding RNA, 580 nt
Filed under: Ictidomys tridecemlineatus (thirteen-lined ground squirrel)
Lineage: Eukaryota; Metazoa; Chordata; Mammalia; Rodentia; Sciuridae
Description: lncRNA (ENSSTOG00000030830.1)
Source: RNAcentral
AUGGGGUACUUCAAAGGCAGAGGCCUGGGUGGGGCAUUGCAGUCCCCCAACCGCCCCUCCCGCCUGAGAAUAAAAUACCAACUGGAGGAGGGAGACACAGAAGCGUCCUCGGCCCUGAGAGGAUAAGCUGUUUCUGUGAAGGGCAGGUUCAUCUGCUGCCAGCCCAGAGUCAGGCCACCUUAAGCUCCUGCCCUGUCUGAGACUGUGGCUGACAUGUCUCCCCAGGUGAAUAUAAAAAUACCCAAGGGACGGAACUUCAGCAGCGGUUGCUUUUCAUCCUUGAAGUUCACGGGCUGAAACAAGUUAGUAGCCUUUGCAGCCUCUCACGAACCGCCUGGAGAGGAAAGAGAACGCGGGUGUCUUAUCUUCCAUUGAGCUGCAUCUGAUGAAGGUUGCUGACAGCAUAAUGGCUGGGAAAACGUCGGACAGCUCCAUAAAAUGGCAGCUAUGUUAUGAUAUGUCAGCCAGGACCUGGUGGAUGUCUUUCCCCAGAGAGAAUUGGAUGUUCCGAAGCAUGGCCAGGAGACCACAAAAAGCACCUCAAGUUGGUUAACUUUGGCCAAUAUUAUGUUUUAAUUUU